This 659-nucleotide long non-coding RNA is filed under the name Homo sapiens (human). RNAcentral's name for it is "HSALNT0042704". Lineage: Eukaryota; Metazoa; Chordata; Mammalia; Primates; Hominidae. The record is from RNAcentral.
CCGCCAGGUAAGAAGUGCCCUUCACCUUCUGAGGCCUCCCCAGCCAUGUGGAACUGUAAUCACUGCCUUCCACUCUCUAGUAGAGACCAGCUUCCUGACGAGAAUGAGAAUGUCUGAGGGAUGUAGGAUAUUUUGGAACACAGACCACUUCAGGCACCAUGGAAAUCCUGGGUGGAAGCCAGAGUGGGAAAGCCUAAGGCAGCAGAAUAGGAUUCAGCCUGGAGAGAUGGGAAUGAGCCAUCUUUCUCCUCUCUUUUAACAAAGCACCCUCGCUGUUGGUCCCUGCAAGCUUCAAAGAAUAAAAGGCAAUGCAGAGAAGGCUGGAGAUCAGGAGAGCAAUGGUGUAUUUCCAGUUUGAGUCCGAAGGCCUGGGAGUCAGCAGAGCUGCUGGUAUAUUUAUGCCCAAAGGCCAAUAAACUCAAGACCCAGGAAAAGCCGAUGUUUCCAUUUGAGUCCAAAGGCCUUUGAAAGGGUCUCAGAAACCCCUGAGUACUCCCUGGAUCACACUUUGAGAACCACUACUGAGGACAAGAUAGAAAAGACCAGGGUCCCCAGUUGGUUGCAUGGAGCAGAACCCUCUAACCGCCCCACUCCCUACCCCUAGGACGAGCUACCAGCAUAGGUCUUCAUAUAAAUUGUAAAUAAACCUUCUACUACCU